This 434-nucleotide ribosomal RNA is filed under the name uncultured Blautia sp. RNAcentral describes it as "partial 16S ribosomal RNA". It matches the Rfam family "Bacterial small subunit ribosomal RNA", at positions 341 to 792 of the family's 1533-position model. Lineage: Bacteria; Bacillati; Bacillota; Clostridia; Lachnospirales; Lachnospiraceae. The record is from RNAcentral.
ACGGAAGGCAGCAGUGGGGAAUAUUGCACAAUGGGGGAAACCCUGAUGCAGCGACGCCGCGUGAGUGAAGAAGUAUCUCGGUAUGUAAAGCUCUAUCAGCAGGGAAGAAAAUGACGGUACCUGACUAAGAAGCCCCGGCUAACUACGUGCCAGCAGCCGCGGUAGUACGUAGGGGGCAAGCGUUAUCCGGAUUUACUGGGUGUAAAGGGAGCGUAGACGGUUCUGCAAGUCUGAUGUGAAAGGCAGGGGCUCAACUCCUGGACUGCAUUGGAAACUGUAGAACUAGAGUGCCGGAGAGGUAAGCGGAAUUCCUAGUGUAGCGGUGAAAUGCGUAGAUAUUAGGAGGAACACCAGUGGCGAAGGCGGCUUACUGGACGGUAACUGACGUUGAGGCUCGAAAGCGUGGGGAGCAAACAGGAUUAGAUACCCUGGUA